CAGUAGCCGCGGUAAUACGAAGGGUGCAAGCGUUAAUCGGAAUUACUGGGCGAAAAGCGUGCGUAGGCGGUGAGUUAAGUCUGCUGUGAAAUCCCCGGGCUCAACCUGGGAAUGGCAGUGGAUACUGGCUCGCUAGAGUGUGUCAGAGGAUGGUGGAAUUCCCGGUGUAGCGGUGAAAUGCGUAGAGAUCGGGAGGAACAUCAGUGGCGAAGGCGGCCAUCUGGGACAACACUGACGCUGAGGCACGAAAGCGUGGGGAGCAAACAGGAUUAGAUACCCCAGUAGUCCCUGUCUCUUAUAC
This 301-nucleotide ribosomal RNA is filed under the name uncultured bacterium. RNAcentral describes it as "partial 16S ribosomal RNA". It matches the Rfam family "Bacterial small subunit ribosomal RNA", at positions 509 to 807 of the family's 1533-position model. The record is from RNAcentral.